Molecule: ribosomal RNA, 236 nt
Filed under: uncultured Lactobacillus sp.
Lineage: Bacteria; Bacillati; Bacillota; Bacilli; Lactobacillales; Lactobacillaceae
Description: partial 16S ribosomal RNA
Rfam family: Bacterial small subunit ribosomal RNA
Source: RNAcentral
GCCCCACUAGUCUGGGAUACCACUUGGAAACAGGUGCUAAUACCGGAUAAGAAAGCGGAUCGCAUGAUCAGCUUUUAAAAGGCGGCGUAAGCUGUCGCUAUGGGAUGGCCCCGCGGUGCAUUAGCUAGUUGGUAAGGUAAAGGCUUACCAAGGCGAUGAUGCAUAGCCGAGUUGAGAGACUGAUCGGCCACAUUGGGACUGAGACACGGCCCAAACUCCUACGGGAGGCAGCAGAG